RNAcentral lists this non-coding RNA (29 nucleotides) under Rattus norvegicus (Norway rat). The record is from RNAcentral. Lineage: Eukaryota; Metazoa; Chordata; Mammalia; Rodentia; Muridae.
UGUUCUUGACUAGGAAAAUACAUGGUAUC